Molecule: transfer RNA, 66 nt
Filed under: uncultured Ezakiella sp.
Lineage: Bacteria; Bacillati; Bacillota; Tissierellia
Rfam family: tRNA
About the family: Transfer RNA (tRNA) molecules are approximately 80 nucleotides in length. Their secondary structure includes four short double-helical elements and three loops (D, anti-codon, and T loops).
Source: RNAcentral
CCGGUAGUUCAGUUGGUUAGAAUGCCAGCCUGUCACGCUGGAGGUCGACGGUUCGAAUCCGUUCCG